GUGGGCUAUGGAGACAUCUACCCUAAAACGUUAUUAGGGAAGAUUGUGGGAGGCCUGUGCUGUAUUGCUGGGGUCUUGGUGAUUGCACUUCCUAUUCCAAUCAUUGUAAACAAU
Molecule: non-coding RNA, 114 nt
Organism: Dipodomys ordii (Ord's kangaroo rat)
Lineage: Eukaryota; Metazoa; Chordata; Mammalia; Rodentia; Heteromyidae
Source: Rfam